AACCCAGUACCUCGCAUGUGCUAGACAAGCACUCUACCGCUGAACUACAAUCCCGGCCCUGAUGAGUGCUGCUUUUACAAAAUACUACUUGGUUGUGAAAUCAGCCAAUUAAGUAUUAAAGAGCUCAAGGAGAAGUCAUGGUAGAAUGACUGCGAGAAGAUUGCCUGACCUCAGACACAGAUUCUGUAGUAAAUAUCUAUGGAAUUAUAGAAUGGAAUGUGAAUGUUAUGAACAUGUGGUGUCAAUGUAACAAAAAUAGGGAGAAGAAAUGGGAUUAGAAAUGUUAAUGCUAAGAUUUUCAACUUUCAAAGCAGGAAGUUAGUAGAGUGCCCCAAAGUAAAUUGUGUAUACAUUUAAAACUUGAGCAAACAACAUUAGUAAUAAAAUAAUUAAUUAAUAAAACAAAAUAAUUGGCCACUUAAUGUAUAAUGAUUAGAUAACACUAAAGCUUAAAUAAUUUUUCAUGUAUUUUUAAAAAAUGGACUAUUCCAAAAAUAUACAAAGUAAAUAGCCAAUACUAAUUUAUAUGUUAUUUGCAUUUAAUAGAUGUCACCAUGUUGUUGUAUUUGCUUCAGAUCUUGUAUAAAAUAUUUUAGUGAAAAGGAAAAGUUUAGAUAAAAUAUAAUGAAUACUAAUGCAUUUAGCACCUAUACUGGGAAAUAAAACAUUGUGAAUACAAUUGAGGACUCU
Molecule: long non-coding RNA, 690 nt
Filed under: Marmota monax (woodchuck)
Lineage: Eukaryota; Metazoa; Chordata; Mammalia; Rodentia; Sciuridae
Source: RNAcentral